UACGGAGGAUGCGAGCGUUAUCCGGAUUUAUUGGGUGUAAAGGGUGCGUAGGCGGAUGAGUAAGUCAGUGGUGAAAGCCUGCAGCUUAACUGUAGAAUUGCAAUUGAUACUGCUUGUCUUGAGGAUAGUUGAGGUGGGCGGAAUAUGACAUGUAGCGUUGAAAUGCUUAGAUAUGUCAUAGAACACCGAUUGCGAAGGCAGCUCACUAAGCUAUAUCUGACGCUGAGGCGCGAAAGCGUGGGUAGCAAACAGG
RNAcentral lists this ribosomal RNA (253 nucleotides) under uncultured bacterium. RNAcentral describes it as "partial 16S ribosomal RNA". It matches the Rfam family "Bacterial small subunit ribosomal RNA", at positions 524 to 776 of the family's 1533-position model. The record is from RNAcentral.